This 441-nucleotide ribosomal RNA is filed under the name uncultured bacterium. RNAcentral's name for it is "partial 16S ribosomal RNA". It matches the Rfam family "Bacterial small subunit ribosomal RNA", at positions 338 to 795 of the family's 1533-position model. The record is from RNAcentral.
CCUACGGGAGGCAGCAGUGGGGAAUAUUGCGCAAUGGGGGAAACCCUGACGCAGCAACGCCGCGUGAGUGAGGAAGUAUCUCGGUAUAUAAAGCUCUUUCAGCGGGGAAGAAGGAAGACGGUACCCGACUGAGAAGCCCCGGCUAACUACGUGCCAGCAGCCGCGGUAAUACGUAGGGGGCGAGCGUUAUCCGGAUUUACUGGGUGUAAAGGGGGCGUAGACGGCGUCGCAAGUCUGAAGUGAAAGCCCGUGGCUUAACCGCGGAACCGCUUGGGAAACUGUGAGGCUGGAGUGCUGGAGAGGUGAGCGGAAUGCCUGGUGUAGCGGUGAAAUGCGUAGAUAUCAGGAGGAACACCGGUGGCGAAGGCGGCUUACUGGAUAGUGACUGACGUUGAGGCUCGAAAGUGUGGGGAGCGAACAGGAUUAGAUACCCGUGUAGUC